Long non-coding RNA from Lingula anatina, 779 nucleotides. RefSeq lists it as uncharacterized. The record is from RefSeq and is a predicted model, not a curated record. NCBI's taxonomy places the organism in Eukaryota, Metazoa, Brachiopoda, Lingulata, Lingulida, Lingulidae.
GUAGAGAUGAAGGUGUUUCCUGGAUUAUCAUCUCUCUGAGCACUGCUGAACUCAUCUCAACCUUGCAGCCUCAUCACAGAAAGACCUUGGAUAAUAUAACCUGGGAGUUUGCAUUAGAUGAGGACACUACUCUGCCUUGGUACAUUAUUGUGGAAGGAGGGGAAAUACACCUUUGUCAAUUCUCAUGGAGAGACUGGCCAAGAAGAGGACAUAAUCACAAGAAAUUGGGGCAACUUUUCCAGAAGAAAAGAAAUUGGGUGCCAGUUUGUCACCAUUGACCACAAAAAAAAACUAGAUGGCUACACUUGUGGGCUAUGGUGUAUAUAUGUACAUUUGUUGCAGACAAAAGGCACCUCAAAAUAAUACCUGUUGGGCAUAAGAUCAGGUUAAUUAUCUCAUAAUGCAACACUUAUGACUUAUAAAUUAUACAAGUGCAAACAGGAAUCUUAACUGGUCCAGUGAUUAUAAGUGUGACAUGUCUUAUUUACAAGCAUGAUAAUAGAUCCAGUAUAAUUCCAUAAGAGGCUGCAGCUGGUAUAUGUGUAUCAAAUCCUGGAAAUUAUGUUACUAUUAUAUAUACUUGUACUUCUAUCAAAUAUUAUAUAUACAGAUUAUUGGAUGAAACUUUUGCAUAACAUUGGGCAUUCCAUAACAAUUUUAAAAAUAUAUUUGUAUUAUUACCAUUUAUAUAAGUUGCAAAUAUAGGAUGCUGUUAGUAUUUUUUUGAAAAUGGUGUUUGCUGAUGGACUUGUUAACAAUUCAUGUGAACUAGCAUCUAA